Vault RNA from Xenopus tropicalis (tropical clawed frog), 100 nucleotides. Its record names the gene Vault. It matches the Rfam family "Vault RNA". From Rfam's summary of the family: This family of RNAs are found as part of the enigmatic vault ribonucleoprotein complex. The record is from Ensembl. NCBI's taxonomy places the organism in Eukaryota, Metazoa, Chordata, Amphibia, Anura, Pipidae.
GGGUUGGCAUUGUAGCUCAGCAGUUCCUUCACGGGCUCUCUGAUUUAUCAGACUAAUCCUCUCGGGGGUUCAAAACCUGCGGGCGAUAUCCAGCCUUUUU